RNAcentral lists this long non-coding RNA (663 nucleotides) under Bos indicus x Bos taurus (hybrid cattle). RNAcentral describes it as "lncRNA (ENSBIXG00005020071.1)". Lineage: Eukaryota; Metazoa; Chordata; Mammalia; Artiodactyla; Bovidae. The record is from RNAcentral.
UACUCCCUCUCCCUCCUCAGGCCCUCCUUCAAGGCUGAUGAUUGCAAUAAUUGUAAUUGGACUUGUAAUCACGCUGUCCUAAUCGGAUGUAUGGUAUGGUGCCUGCUUGAAAGGUCUCUUUAAUGAGUGCUGGCACAAGGUGAUCGGUUUCUCCAGCAUCUGGCGGCCUCAGACCCUCAGUAACUGCAUCACAACAAAGCCCAGGGUGGACACGGAAAAGAAGCUGACAGAAGACAACGCCCAGUCCCGAGAUGCAGCAAGCAGACUGCCUGUUGAAACCAGCAGCCCCUGAAGGAUCUCAGAGGAGAAGAUGGCUGCUGGUUCCAACAGACGCCACUGAAAGGGAUCUUCCCGAUCCAGGGAUCGAACCCGAGUGUCCUGUGUCUCCUGCACUGCAUGCGAGUUCUUUGCCUGCUGAGCCAUCCGGGAAGCAUUACUGCUUUAUGCCAAUGCAAAUGUUACAAUUUAAAGUUUUACUUGAAGACUGGAUGCCUGUUCAGGUUUCUCCUCAGUACUGAAUUUGUGACCAAAUUAAAUAUGCAAUUUCCACAUGUACACCCGUGGUGGAUUCAUGUUGAUGUAUGGCAAAACCAAUACAGUAUUGUAAAGUAAUUAGCCUCUAGUUAAAAUAAAUAAAUUUAAAUUAAAAAAAUUUUUAAAAAG